CAGACCCUCCAGGAAGUUGCGAUGUUGCGAUCGCACCAAUUCACGCAAAUUCAACGAUUCCCCGCGAAUUCAGCGCAACGUUGCAAUUUUAACACAUCACCGCAACUUUCCCGCAAAUUUGACAAAUUAUUGUUGUCUCCCACAACUUUCUUCCUUCCGCUACACCAAGGGCGGAAAUUCUGCCCUGCAGGACGUCAGGUGACGAGACAGAUCACAGUGACACAGGCUGUUUUUUUUUUUUUCGUUUUAUGUGAAGGCUGAGAUAUUCAUAACAUUUUAUUCAGUCUUACUUGUGGUCCUUUUGUAAUACCAACAGGUGCACUUCGUUGUGGAUAAGUAAAUCCUAUGUACUGUUCCCCCUACGUGUUUAGCAUAACAUAGCAUAACUAGCUAUGUUUCUAGAUAACUGUCUAACAGCAGUUGCCAUUCCCACGAGUCGAACAUUUGAAUGAUGUCAAAGUAAAAGUCCUUUACUAUACUGUGUUCGUUUCCAUAACAACAAUUCAAGCAAUAUACAUUCUCUGACCUAAAUAAGCAAAGGGCAGAACAGCCUAUUAUGCUACAUUUUUGUAGUCCUGGUAAUCUUUAGUUUGGCAUGUUGGUAAGGUUAUUUAGAGGACCAUUUCCCAAUGUUUUUUUUUUUUUUUUAAAGAAUGUUUCUUUAUUAAUUCUUUAUUUUUCAACAAAUAACUCAAUUAUAAUUACAAAGAGGGAAAUUCGCAACUUUUAUCGCAACUUUCACUUGCUCCCGCAAUUUCAUCGCAACAAACACCUAAAAAACACUGCAACUUUCACCGCAACUUUUUGGAAAAGCCCCCGCGAAAUCAGUCAUUUUAGGCCGCAACUAUCACAAAAAAGGCCUGCGAAAUCCUGGGGGGACUGGUCUCUGCAUUAACACUCCUCCCAGGCCAUAAGACGAUGCAUCGGCUGAGACAAGUGUUUCUCGCUUUGAACUGUAUUGAGCUAAGACAGUUGGUGAACUCAGCUCUUCCUUUACUGCCUCAAAAGCAGUCUUUUGUUGAAUGUCCCACGUCCAUGUGCAGUCAUUCUUAAGCAAGUCUCUUAGGGGUUUUGUGAGAGUGGGCAGAUGAGGUGAAAACUUGCCGACAUAAUUCACCAUACCCAUGAAGCGCCUCACGCCUUCAAUGUUUUGUGGUUCGGGCAUGUUCAGAAUUGCUUUAAUUUUGUCUGGAUCAGC
Clupea harengus (Atlantic herring) is the source of this 1198-nucleotide long non-coding RNA. NCBI's taxonomy places the organism in Eukaryota, Metazoa, Chordata, Actinopteri, Clupeiformes, Clupeidae. The record is from Ensembl.